GCAGGGGCUAGGUUUCCUCGACAAUGUUCGUCAGUCGAGGGUUAGUCGGUCCUAAGACGUACCGUAAUUCGAGUACGCCAAAAGGGAAACAGGUUAAUAUUCCUGUACCUGUAUCAAACAAUCCUGACGCUUUCGGAUAGGCAUUACGGAGCUGUCGCUCCGUCUAAGCUGGAUAUGAAACUGGAGUACCGUAAUGGUGGGAACGUUUCUAAACAGUGAUGGGGUAACAAUGCUGAUUCCAGGAGCCCGUGAAAAGGGUGAUACAGUCCGUACCGAGAACUGACACAGGUGCCCCUCGCUGAAAAGGCGAAGGCGUGUCGGGAUUAAUUGUGUUAAGGGAACUCGGCAAAUUAGCCCUGUAACUUUGGGAUAAGGGGUGCCUGCCCAGCGAUUGGGCAGGUCGCAGUGACAAGAUCGCCCCGACUGUCUAAUAACAACAUAGCAGACUGCAACUCCGAAAGGACUGGUAUAGUCUGUGAUUCCUGCCCAGUGCGAGUAUCUGAACACCGGGUUCAACCGGACGAAGGACUCGUAGACGGCGGGGGUAACGAUGACCCUCUUAAGGUAGCGUAGUACCUUGUCGCUUAAUUGGCGACUUGCAUGAAUGGAAUAACGAGAGCGAUACUGUCCCUAACACAAACCCGUUGAACCUUUUGUACUAGUGCAGAGACUAGUGACUCCUUAUGGGAAGUGAAGACCCCGUGGAGCUUUACUGCAGCCUGUCGUUGGAUUACGGUAUUACCUGCGCAGGGUAGAUGGGAGACGUCGAACUGUCCCUUGUGGGGGACAGGGAGUCAACGAUGAGACACCAUCCUGGUUUUAUUGUAAUUCUAACUGAUUUAUCAGGACAUCGAUAGGUAGGCAGUUUGGGUGGGGCGCCACACCCUCGAAAAAAUAUCAAGGGUGCCCUAAGGUCAACUCAAGCGGGUCAGAAACCCGCUGAAGAGUGUCAAGAGCAAAAGUUGGCCUGACGCGAUUUCGCAUAACAAGAAAUCGCGAGAGGAAACUCGGGUCUAACGAACCAAUACGCCCUGUUGAUGAGGGCUAUUGACUACAGAAAAGCUACCCCGGGGAUAACAGAGUUGUCGCCGGCAAGAGCACAUAUCGACCCGGCGGCUUGCUACCUCGAUGUCGGUUCUUUCCAUCCUGGCUGUGCAGCAGCAGCCAAGGGUGAGGUUGUUCGCCUAUUAAAGGGGAUCGUGAGCUGGGUUUAGACCGUCGUGAGACAGGUCGGUUACUAUCUAUAAGGAGUGUAGGAAGUCUGAAGGCAAGAAUGAAAUAGUACGAGAGGAACUUUCAUUCGGCGCCACUGGUCUACCGGUUGUCUGACAAGGCAAUGCCGGGCAGCUACGCGCCAAGAGAUAAAAGCUGAAAGCAUCUAAGCUUGAAACUCAGCCUAAACAAGAGACUUCAUUAAAGACACGGGUAAAACACCCGGUUGAUAGGUUCGGGAUGUAAGCACGAAGGAAACGACGUGUUCAGUCCGCGAAU
This 1491-nucleotide ribosomal RNA is filed under the name metagenome. RNAcentral describes it as "bacterial LSU rRNA". It matches the Rfam family "Archaeal large subunit ribosomal RNA", at positions 1427 to 2962 of the family's 2987-position model. The record is from RNAcentral.